Cavia aperea (Brazilian guinea pig) is the source of this 135-nucleotide small nucleolar RNA. Lineage: Eukaryota; Metazoa; Chordata; Mammalia; Rodentia; Caviidae. The record is from Ensembl.
AUGGCCUUGAAUCAAGGCCCGCAACUUCCUGACACUGUUGGUCGCAAACAAGAGCCUAAAGAGAUGUCUUUCUAUGUCUGUUGGCCAUUUCAGAAUUUGGCAGUGAAAUGGUCAAUUCAUUAGAAAGAGGCAGCU